This 280-nucleotide long non-coding RNA is filed under the name Serinus canaria (Common canary). RNAcentral describes it as "lncRNA (ENSSCAG00000012223.1)". Lineage: Eukaryota; Metazoa; Chordata; Aves; Passeriformes; Fringillidae. The record is from RNAcentral.
CCAGCACCCAGCUCAGCCCCACUUCUCAGCAGCCCUCUGGAAAACCCAAAGUGUGUGGUGAAAGCCUGCGUAAAUCAGGGGAGGAACCACCUUUACUUUCCUGGUUUGGUGAGUCAGCAGCCUAGAGGAGAAGAACACAUCUUCCAGGAGAACAGAUGAACCCUCCUGGAGGGGUUCACAUGGUGGUGUGAAAGAAGAGCUUUUGCACAGGAAAAAGCCACAUCCCUCAGAGAAAGUCAAGCUGUAACAAAAGAAAAGAAUAAUCAGGAGCUGAUGGGGC